AUGGGGGCGGGGACCAGGCCGUCCGCGAUAGCUGCGGCGGCUCUGCUCGCCGUCGCCGCCUGCUGCGCGGCGCUCCUCGUCGCGGCCGCGCCGCCGCAAAGCCACCAGCCGCAGCAGCACAAGCACGUCAGGAUCUCAGGGAACGCCGGCGACGUGCUGGAGGACGACCCGGUGGGGAAGCUCAAGGUGUUCAUCUACGAGAUGCCGAGGAAGUACAACCAUUACCUGCUCGAGAAGGACAACCGGUGCCUCUACCACAUGUUCGCGGCGGAGAUCUUCAUGCACCAGUUCCUGCUGGCGAGCGCGGUGCGGACCAUGAACCCGGAGGAGGCCGACUGGUUCUACACCCCGGUGUACGUGACGUGCGACCUGACGCAGCAGGGCUUCCCGCUGCCGUUCCGGGCUCCCCGGAUCAUGCGGAGCGCCAUCCAGUACAUCGCGGCGACAUGGCCGUACUGGAACCGGACCGAGGGGGCCGACCACUUCUUCCUCGCUCCCCAUGAUUUCGGGGCGUGCUUCCACUAUCAGGAGGAGAGGGCUAUCGAGAGGGGGAUCCUGCCGCUGCUCCGGCGCGCGACGCUGGUGCAGACGUUCGGGCAGAGGAACCAUGUGUGCAUGCAGGAGGGGUCCAUAACCAUUCCUCCCUACGCCAACCCGCAGAAGAUGCAGGCUCACCUCAUCUCCCCCGGCACCCCCCGGUCCAUCUUCGCCUACUUCCGCGGCCUCUUCUACGACAUGGGCAACGACCCCGAGGGCGGCUACUACGCCAGGGGCGCGCGGGCGUCGGUGUGGGAGAACUUCAAGGACAACCCUCUGUUCGACAUGUCGUCGGAGCACCCGUCGACGUACUACGAGGACAUGCAGCGGGCCAUCUUCUGCCUGUGCCCUCUGGGGUGGGCGCCGUGGAGCCCGCGGCUGGUGGAGGCGGUGGUGUUCGGGUGCAUCCCGGUGAUCAUCGCCGACGACAUCGUCCUCCCCUUCGCGGACGCCAUCCCGUGGGAGCAGAUCAGCGUGUUCGUGGCGGAGGCGGACGUGCCGCGGCUCGACUCCAUCCUGGCGUCGGUGGCGCCCGAGGACGUGCUCCGGAAGCAGCGCCUGCUGGCCAGCCCGGCCAUGAAGCAGGCCGUGCUCUUCCACCAGCCGGCCAGGCCCGGCGACGCCUUCGACCAGGUGCUCAACGGGCUCGCCCGCAAGCUGCCGCACCGGGAGGGCGCGUUCCUCAAGCCCGGCCAGAAGGUGCUCGACUGGAACGCCGGCCUCGACAGCGACCUCAAGCCGUGGUAG
This 1284-nucleotide ribosomal RNA is filed under the name Triticum aestivum (bread wheat). Its description in RNAcentral is "partial small subunit ribosomal RNA". The record is from RNAcentral. Lineage: Eukaryota; Viridiplantae; Streptophyta; Magnoliopsida; Poales; Poaceae.